Molecule: ribosomal RNA, 509 nt
Filed under: uncultured Actinomycetes bacterium
Lineage: Bacteria; Bacillati; Actinomycetota; Actinomycetes
Description: bacterial SSU rRNA
Rfam family: Bacterial small subunit ribosomal RNA
Source: RNAcentral
AUUAGCGGCGAACGGGUGAGGAACACGUGAGAAAUCUGCCUUCAACACUGGGAUAACUCCGGGAAACCGGGGCUAAUACCGGAUAUGAAAUCUGCGGGCAUCCGCGGAUUUGGAAAGUUUUUCGGUUGAAGAUGAUCUCGCGGCCUAUCAGCUUGUUGGUGAGGUAAUGGCUCACCAAGGCGACGACGGGUAGCCGGCCUGAGAGGGCGACCGGCCACACUGGGACUGAGACACGGCCCAGACUCCUACGGGAGGCAGCAGUGGGGAAUAUUGGGCAAUGGAGGAAACUCUGACCCAGCGACGCCGCGUGCGGGAUGAAGGCCUUCGGGUUGUAAACCGCUUUCAGCAGGGAAGAAGCGAAAGUGACGGUACCUGCAGAAGAAGCACCGGCUAACUAUGUGCCAGCAGCCGCGGUAAUACAUAGGGUGCAAGCGUUGUCCGGAAUUAUUGGGCGUAAAGAGCUCGUAGGUGGUUCGUCACGUCGGAUGUGAAACUCUGGGGCUUAACCC